This 1935-nucleotide long non-coding RNA is filed under the name Capra hircus (goat). Its description in RNAcentral is "lncRNA (ENSCHIG00010003159.1)". Lineage: Eukaryota; Metazoa; Chordata; Mammalia; Artiodactyla; Bovidae. The record is from RNAcentral.
CUUAGCCUCGCACAUGUCCUUCAGGAUCUGAUUCAAAAACUCUCUCUCUUUCAAAAAGCCUUCUAUGAAGAACUCUGUCAUUUUCUCAGCAUCCAUAAACACUGAUGCAUCUAGUCUGUCUGAGGAUAACAUGCCUCUGUUAUCUAUAAAUGUACUGCUUCAGAUGUUUCAACUAAAGCUCCCUGAGGGCAGAACCUACGCCACCCAAUUACAGUAGCUCAUUCCCCAACUCUCUGAAUUAUAGACACUCAACAAACAUUAUUAUUGAGCCAACUAUCAUAUUUGUGCCAUGAAUUGCCCAACUUAAAUGUGCUUUAUUUUAUGAACCUAAGAUAAAAUGUGAAGUAAAGCAAUAUUCUCAGAAAAGCAACCAGGAUUCAAACCUCAGCCCUGCCAACGCCACCUACUAGCUGUGUGACCUUGAGCAAGUUACCUUACCUUUCUGAGCCUAAGUUUUUUUUUCCACAAAUGUUUUGCUCCAGCCCACAGAUUUAUCAUGAAUAUCAAAUGAAAUGAGGCUUGAGAAAAUAUUUUGUAAACUAUGGAGGCUACCUGGGUUCUGACUGUUCAAAUAUAGCAGUGUUUCAAAAAUUUCCAUUGAACAGGUCAAUUAAAAUCAAGUCAACCCUCACUCACAACUGGAGCAGCUCACAAGUUACAGAGUCAACAACCUUCUGUGUUUAGAAACAUCUUGGUGAAGGACAAUGUUGCUACAUCUGCACCCAAACUACUCCAGGUUAGUCUGCACAUGCACACCCGGACUGUCAGAGCUCUCCCCAGCGGUGUUUCUGGCAGGUCCCUCUCCAGGGCACAGAGAAGCAGGGGAGUCCGUAAGUCUGAAAAUCACUUCCUGCUGCAUACACGCUCAGUUGUGUCCAGCUCUUUGCAACCGCCUGGACUGUAGCCCGCCCAGCUCCUCUGUCCAUAGAAUUUUCCAGGCAAGACACAGGAGUGGGCUGCCAUUUCCUACUACAGGGGAUCUUCCUGACCCAGGGAUCGAACCUGCGUCUCCUGCAUCUCCCUUCUUUGGCAGGCUGACUCUUUACCACAGCGCCACCAGGGAAGCCCCGGAAUUCCUUUCAGCUCAGGGAAAUAGCCUCCAGUCCUUUAAAGCGAAAGAAAAGGUGAGAAGAUAACGAGUCUCCAGUUCUUUCUCCUCUUAAUCUUUGCCAUUUUCACAAAACCACAUUAUCUUCACAUUUGUAGGGGACAGACAGAUCAACCAAGACUCUGUGUAUAAGAAAGACCUACAAUAAUUGUAAUAUGAUGCCUUUGUAGAGGACUCCUAAAAUCAGGAGGUGAGAGGAAUUGCAGGCUAAGCCAAAUAAAGCGAAACAGACACAGAAGAAGACAACAUGCAGAAAGGACACAUUUCCUUGUGUUUGUAUGGUUCACAUAGGCAAUAGGAAUUCCCCUCCUUCCCAACUGUUGGGCCAUGUCAAAAGUACUGGCAUCGAUCACAACUAUGAACAGAACCUUAUUUUACUUGAUCCUUAAAAAUGGUAAAAAUCCACUGGUCUUGAAUUUACAGAUGUAUCUGCAGAAAACAAGCAACACAGACGGCUUUUCUGACGAGCACUUAUUCUUCAGCCUGGACAUCUGCUUGGUCAACAAGUCAUCUGAAUCACCUGACCGUGACCAUUAUAUAGGCAGAAGUGCAGGGAAGCUGGCUUUUCUGCUGAAUUUUGGGAAUGAUUGGGAAUGCCAGAAGGAACAGAAUUUUUAUGUCUAUUUUUUUUAAUGCUAAAUGAAUCAACAAACUGUGUAUUACAGCCUACAGCAAACUAGCCAAGGCAAAUGGUCCAUUUGCUUUUCCUAGAUGACCAUUCUACACAACGACUAGCCUCGGAGACAACUUAGUAGAUCCUUGUCUAUUCUCCAGAUCAGUGCGGUCCAAAAGAAUUUUCCGCAAUGACAAAAAUGUUUUAUCUCUAC